This 1353-nucleotide ribosomal RNA is filed under the name Triticum aestivum (bread wheat). Its description in RNAcentral is "partial small subunit ribosomal RNA". The record is from RNAcentral. Lineage: Eukaryota; Viridiplantae; Streptophyta; Magnoliopsida; Poales; Poaceae.
AUGGACGCCGGCGGCGAGACUGCGGCCGUCCUCCACCGCCUGGGCCUGCCCCUCCGCCCCCGCCCCACGCCGGUCUCUCUGGCCCCGUACUUGCCUCUCCACCACUUCUCCUCGAAGCUGACAAUUUCCCCACUCCACGCGAGCGAUGAAGGCGACGACGAGACGACGCCCGGCCUCAUCUCGCCGGCGACGGAGGUGCUGGGCAAAGACGACCUCCUCGCCGAGAUCCUCGCACGUCUCCCCCCGCAGCCGUCCUUGAUCCUGCACGCCUCCAUCGUCUCCAAGCGCUGGGGUCACCUCGCCGCAUCCGCUGCCUUCCGCCGGCGCUUGCGCAAUCACCACGGCAGGCCCCCUGUCCUGGGCGCAUUCGAGAGGGACGGGAAGAAGCUCCUCUUCAUCCCUGCCCUGGACUCUCCAGAUCGCAUCCCCGCGGAGAGGUUCUCGCUCCAGGUCUGCGCCGACGAGGCCACCAAUGACCACUGGGGCGUGCUCGGCUGCCGCCAUGGGCGCGUCCUCAUCAUCAACCGGACGCGGUGUGAGCUCGUGGUGUUUGAUCCCGUUUCCGGCGACCACUGCAUUGUGGCGUUUCCACCGGAUUUCGACCAGCACGCGUACAACGCCAACGGAGCUUUGAUCGGCGACGAGCAGCUCCGGUCCAGCGCAUUUCAGUUGGUCUUGGUAGGCUUUUCUGCCAAUGACGGCGCAGGAGUUACCGCGGCCCGCGUCUACUCCUCGGAGACCGGCGAGUGGGGACAACUCGUUGCUGCAGCGAGACCAUGUGCUGUUGGCCAUCUCCCCUGUACACUUAUUGGCAAAAGGCUCUACUGGUGGCUCACUGAGCGUGACCAUGGUAUACUGGAAUUCAAUAUGGAAACCAAGAGCCUAGGUGUGAUCACCAAGCCUUCCAUUGAGAACAUCCACAGCUGCCGGAGCCGGAUCAUCAAUGGAGAGGAUGGCAGUGUUGGACUCGUCGUAUUCUCGUACCCUAGCAUGCAAAUGUGGGACCGUAAGCUCAGUGAUCGGGGUGUCGCGACAUGGGUGCUGCGGAAGACAGUUGACAUGCGUGGCAAGCUUGCUCUGCCGUCUAGCAUGGAGGCAGGGAAAUCGACUAUUCUGGGGUACACUGAGGAUGCGGAUGCGGUUAUUAUAUCGGUGCACACAUUCCCCUGGGUGCAGAAUGGCGACGUUUAUGUCUUCCUGGUUCAACUCGACUUAAUGCAGUGCAAGAAACUACAUGGAAGCUUUAUGGAAAAUUCCUAUCACCCUUAUGCAAAUUUCUAUGCCGGCCCGACAGCGCUCAAACUUCUUGGUCGUCUAGACAGUGAUCGGGAUGCUGCUGUACCACAAGCGUAA